CGGCCGCGGGCUGCAUGGGCAGCGCCCGCGCCCCGCCGCCGUUCCGCCGCGGAGCCGCGUCGCCCUCGGAGCCGGAGCAUCCUGCCCUGCUGGAGUUCAUACCCAGUCCUGAGCAGCACUGAUUUUUGCCAUGGAAUCUACAGUUGAAGAUGAAGCAAUAGCAGCAUACAUGAAGACCAAGUAAGGGGAGGAGAACGAUGCCCAAGGGUGGGUGUUCUAAAACACCCCAGCAAGAAGACUGUUCUCUCAGCAACGACAUGGUGGAGAAACAAACUGGGAAAAAGGAUAAAGAUAAAGUUUCUCUAACCAAGACUCCAAAGCUGGACCGCACUGAUGGAGGGAAGGAGGUGAGAGAACGGGUCACCAAGCGGAAGCUGCCCUUCACCGUGGGGGCCAAUGGAGAGCAGAAAGACUCGGACACAGAUGCCUCCAGCUCAGUCCAUGUUGUGGUACUGCAAGGCUGGUACGGUCCUCGAAGCACCAUGGCAUGAAAUGGAGGUUCCUAGAAGCAGAAGGAACCUGUUCCCCGAAAGUCCGGGCUAUUGUUCGGCAUGGGGCUGUCUGGGAUCCGAGCUGGAUACCCGCUCUCUGAGCGUCAGCAGGUGGCUCUGCUCAUGCAGAUGACCGCCGAGGAGUCUGCAAAUAGUCCAGUAGACACCACACCAAAGCACCCUUCCCAGUCUACAGUGUGUCAGAAGGGGACCCCCAACUCCGCC
RNAcentral lists this long non-coding RNA (716 nucleotides) under Rattus norvegicus (Norway rat). RNAcentral describes it as "long non-coding RNA NONRATT014799". Lineage: Eukaryota; Metazoa; Chordata; Mammalia; Rodentia; Muridae. The record is from RNAcentral.